UGCAAGUCGAGCGAACAGACAAGGAGCUUGCUCCUUUGACGUUAGCGGCGGACGGGUGAGUAACACGUGGGUAACCUACCUAUAAGACUGGGAUAACUUCGGGAAACCGGAGCUAAUACCGGAUAAUAUUUCGAACCGCAUGGUUCGAUAGUGAAAGAUGGUUUUGCUAUCACUUAUAGAUGGACCCGCGCCGUAUUAGCUAGUUGGUAAGGUAACGGCUUACCAAGGCGACGAUACGUAGCCGACCUGAGAGGGUGAUCGGCCACACUGGAACUGAGACACGGUCCAGACUCCUACGGGAGGCAGCAGUAGGGAAUCUUCCGCAAUGGGCGAAAGCCUGACGGAGCAACGCCGCGUGAGUGAUGAAGGUCUUCGGAUCGUAAAACUCUGUUAUUAGGGAAGAACAUACGUGUAAGUAACUGUGCACGUCUUGACGGUACCUAAUCAGAAAGCCACGGCUAACUACGUGCCAGCAGCCGCGGUAAUACGUAGGUGGCAAGCGUUAUCCGGAAUUAUUGGGCGUAAAGCGCGCGUAGGCGGUUUUUUAAGUCUGAUGUGAAAGCCCACGGCUCAACCGUGGAGGGUCAUUGGAAACUGGAAAACUUGAGUGCAGAAGAGGAAAGUGGAAUUCCAUGUGUAGCGGUGAAAUGCGCAGAGAUAUGGAGGAACACCAGUGGCGAAGGCGACUUUCUGGUCUGUAACUGACGCUGAUGUGCGAAGCGUGGGGAUCAAACAGGAUUAGAUACCCUGGUAGUCCACGCCGUAAACGAUGAGUGCUAAGUGUUA
This 786-nucleotide ribosomal RNA is filed under the name Staphylococcus sp. Y50-MSE-E14. RNAcentral's name for it is "bacterial SSU rRNA". It matches the Rfam family "Bacterial small subunit ribosomal RNA", at positions 56 to 825 of the family's 1533-position model. Lineage: Bacteria; Bacillati; Bacillota; Bacilli; Caryophanales; Staphylococcaceae. The record is from RNAcentral.